UGGCCCGGCCUUACAACAACCAAACAAGUUUGACCUCAAAUCAGGUAGGAAUACCCGCUGAACUUAAGCAUAUCAAUAAGCGGAGGAAAAGAAACCAACAGGGAUUGCCUUAGUAGCGGCGAGUGAAGCGGCAAAAGCUCAAAUUUGAAAUCUGGCGCCUUCGGUGUCCGAGUUGUAAUUUGAAGAUUGUAACCUUGGGGUUGGCUCUUGUCUAUGUUUCUUGGAACAGGACGUCACAGAGGGUGAGAAUCCCGUGCGAUGAGAUGCCCAAUUCUAUGUAAGGUGCUUUCGAAGAGUCGAGUUGUUUGGGAAUGCAGCUCUAAGUGGGUGGUAAAUUCCAUCUAAAGCUAAAUAUUGGCGAGAGACCGAUAGCGAACAAGUACAGUGAUGGAAAGAUGAAAAGAACUUUGAAAAGAGAGUGAAAAAGUACGUGAAAUUGUUGAAAGGGAAGGGUUUGAGAUCAGACUCGAUAUUUUGUGAGCCUUGCCUUCGUGGCGGGGUGACCCGCAGCUUAUCGGGCCAGCAUCGGUUUGGGCGGUAGGAUAAUGGCGUAGGAAUGUGACUUU
This 566-nucleotide ribosomal RNA is filed under the name Meyerozyma guilliermondii. RNAcentral describes it as "eukaryotic LSU rRNA". It matches the Rfam family "Eukaryotic large subunit ribosomal RNA", at positions 1 to 542 of the family's 3401-position model. Lineage: Eukaryota; Fungi; Ascomycota; Pichiomycetes; Serinales; Debaryomycetaceae. The record is from RNAcentral.